Molecule: ribosomal RNA, 480 nt
Filed under: uncultured bacterium
Lineage: Bacteria
Description: bacterial SSU rRNA
Rfam family: Bacterial small subunit ribosomal RNA
Source: RNAcentral
CUACGUGCCAGCAGCCGCGGUAAUACGGAAGGUUCAGGCGUUAUCCGGAUUUAUUGGGUUUAAAGGGAGCGUAGGCGGAUUAUUAAGUCAGUGGUGAAAGACGGUGGCUCAACCAUCGUUAGCCAUUGAAACUGGUAGUCUUGAGUGCAGACAGGGAUGCUGGAACUCGUGGUGUAGCGGUGAAAUGCUUAGAUAUCACGAUGAACUCCGAUCGCGAAGGCAGCUGACGGGAGCGCAACUGACGCUGAAGCUCGAAGGUGCGGGUAUCGAACAGGAUUAGAUACCCUGGUAGUCCGCACAGUAAACGAUGGAUGCCCGCUGUUGGUACCUGGUAUCAGCGGCUAAGCGAAAGCAUUAAGCAUCCCACCUGGGGAGUACGCCGGCAACGGUGAAACUCAAAGGAAUUGACGGGGGCCCGCACAAGCGGAGGAACAUGUGGUUUAAUUCGAUGAUACGCGAGGAACCUUACCCGGGCUUGAA